CCGCCCCCUCCCCCGCCAUGCCGGCUCCGGCCGUGCGGGCGGUAUCGUUGGGGUUGCGGCCUUACGAGGAAGCGCUGCGGGUUCAACAGCGCUGCGUGGCGGCUGCGCGGGCGGCUCGGGGCCCUCCUCCGCGUCCGCCAUCCGAGGGUGCACUGUGGGAACCACAUCACCUCCCACGGGCUGGCACUGAACUGCUGCAUUGACCUCUCCUGGUUCGAGCACAUCGUGCCCUGUGGGCUGGAGGGGACGACGGCCACUUCACUGAGCCGUGAAUUGGGUCGCCAUGUCACCGUCGAGGACAUCCUCGAGCCCUUCCUUGAGUCCUUCCAGGAGGUCUUUGACUGCACUGUGGUGUUUUCUGAGGAGCCCAGGGACUGAGAAGGUGCAGGGUGAUGGAAAAAGUCACAUCCCGCUGGUGCUGGAGCACACAGAUGGUGUGGGAUGGUUGGGGGCUGUCCUCAAUGCCAUGUCCUCACCAUGCCACGUCUCGCUGCUGAGAUACUGUGAAGACAAAGCCCUUGUUAGGAGCAGGGGUGGACCUGCAGAGCUCAGGUCGUGUCCUCAGUGAGCAUUUUUGUGCUUUGAACUCCUCUCCUCAAAAAGUCUGACGUUGGAGUGAAUGCUUUGAGCAAAAAGGGAGAGGUGUUGCUUGGUGAAGUGUUCUUAUCUCCUUGCUGCUAUGCAAAAGUCAGUGUUGGUUUUAUAUAAAGACGGUU
RNAcentral lists this long non-coding RNA (716 nucleotides) under Gallus gallus (chicken). RNAcentral describes it as "long non-coding RNA NONGGAT001478". Lineage: Eukaryota; Metazoa; Chordata; Aves; Galliformes; Phasianidae. The record is from RNAcentral.